GCUUGCUCCUUUGACGUUAGCGGCGGACGGGUGAGUAACACGUGGGUAACCUACCUAUAAGACUGGAAUAACUCCGGGAAACCGGGGCUAAUGCCGGAUAACAUAUCGAACCGCAUGGUUCGAUAGUGAAAGACGGUCUUGCUGUCACUUAUAGAUGGACCCGCGCCGUAUUAGCUAGUUGGUGAGGUAACGGCUCACCAAGGCAACGAUACGUAGCCGACCUGAGAGGGUGAUCGGCCACACUGGAACUGAGACACGGUCCAGACUCCUACGGGAGGCAGCAGUAGGGAAUCUUCCGCAAUGGGCGAAAGCCUGACGGAGCAACGCCGCGUGAGUGAUGAAGGUCUUCGGAUCGUAAAGCUCUGUUGUUAGGGAAGAACAAAUGUGUAAGUAACUGUGCACAUCUUGACGGUACCUAACCAGAAAGCCACGGCUAACUACGUGCCAGCAGCCGCGGUAAUACGUAGGUGGCAAGCGUUAUCCGGAAUUAUUGGGCGUAAAGCGCGCGUAGGCGKUUUUUUAAGUCUGAUGUGAAAGCCCCACGGCUCAACCCGUGGAGGGUCAUUGGAAACUGGAAAACUUGAGUGCAGAAGAGGAAAGUGGAAUUUCCAUGUGUAGCGGUGAAAUGCGCAGAGAUAUGGAGGAACACCAGUGGCGAAGGCGGCUUUCUGGUCUGUAACUGACGCUGAUGUGCGAAAGCGUGGGGAUCAAACAGGAUUAGAUACCCUGGUAGUCCACGCCGUAAACGAUGAGUGCUAAGUGUUAGGGGGUUUCCGCCCCUUAGUGCUGCAGCUAACGCAUUAAGCACUCCGCCUGGGGAGUACGGUCGCAAGACUGAAACUCAAAGGAAUUGACGGGGACCCGCACAAGCGGUGGAGCAUGUGGUUUAAUUCGAAGCAACGCGAAGAACCUUACCAAAUCUUGACAUCUUUUGACCACUCUAGAGAUAGAGUUUUCCUCUUCGGAGGACAAAAUGACAGGUGGUGCAUGGUUGUCGUCAGCUCGUGUCGUGAGAUGUUGGGUUAAGUCCCGCAACGAGCGCAACCCUUGAGCUUAGUUGCCAUCAUUAAGUUGGGCACUCUAAGUUGACUGCCGGUGACAAACCGGAGGAAGGUGGGGAUGACGUCAAAUCAUCAUGCCCCUUAUGAUUUGGGCUACACACGUGCUACAAUGGACAAUACAAAGGGCAGCAAAACCGCGAGGUCAAGCAAAUCCCAUAAAGUUGUUCUCAGUUCGGAUUGUAGUCUGCAACUCGACUACAUGAAGCUGGAAUCGCUAGUAAUCGUAGAUCAGCAUGCUACGGUGAAUACGUUCCCGGGUCUUGUACACACCGCCCGUCACACCACGAGAGUUUGUAACACCCGAAGCCGGUGGAGUAACCAUUUGGAGCUA
RNAcentral lists this ribosomal RNA (1392 nucleotides) under Staphylococcus chromogenes. RNAcentral's name for it is "bacterial SSU rRNA". It matches the Rfam family "Bacterial small subunit ribosomal RNA", at positions 78 to 1451 of the family's 1533-position model. Lineage: Bacteria; Bacillati; Bacillota; Bacilli; Caryophanales; Staphylococcaceae. The record is from RNAcentral.